This 425-nucleotide ribosomal RNA is filed under the name uncultured bacterium. Its description in RNAcentral is "bacterial SSU rRNA". It matches the Rfam family "Bacterial small subunit ribosomal RNA", at positions 8 to 433 of the family's 1533-position model. The record is from RNAcentral.
AGAGUUUGAUCAUGGCUCAGAGCGAACGCUGGCGGCACGCCUAACACAUGCAAGUCGAGCGAGAAAGUGACUUCCGUUGCGAGUAAAGCGGCGAACGGGUGAGUACAACGUGGAUAAUCUACCCUACGGUCGGGACAACCCCGAGAAAUCGGAGCUAAUACCGGAUAAGACCACAGUAUCCAAGGAUACAGCGGUAAAAGAUUUAUCGCCUUUGGAUGAGUCCACGUCCCAUCAGGUAGUUGGUAAGGUAAAGGCUUACCAAGCCUAAGACGGGUAGCCGGCCUUAGCGGGUGAACGGCCACAUGGGGACUGAGACACGGCCCUGACUCCUACGGGAGGCAGCAGUGGGGAAUAUUGGGCAAUGGGCGAAAGCCUGACCCACCGAUGCCGCGUGAGGGAUGAAGGCCUUCGGGUUGUAAACCCUC